This is a long non-coding RNA of Panicum virgatum (switchgrass), 1547 nucleotides long. RefSeq lists it as uncharacterized. Lineage: Eukaryota; Viridiplantae; Streptophyta; Magnoliopsida; Poales; Poaceae. The record is from RefSeq and is a predicted model, not a curated record. The transcript is spliced from 2 exons.
GAAACACGUGCCAAGGUCGAGGGCACGUCGCAGCUCUUGGGGACCAGCUCCCCAACACGCCGCCAUGAAAAAAGGUCGAGCUCCACCGUCCGGAGAGGCGGCAAAGAUCGGGCAGCAGCACGACCGCUUCUUCUGAACGGUGCCGUCGGGGUCGGACACUCAGGCAAUGAUGCUGGAACUUAGCUGCAAUCUUACAGUAAUUGGCGUAUGCAGAGAGGAGAAUCCAUAUCCCGCGACCUGUACAGGUGUAUGCUCAUCUCACUUGCUCUAAAAUUUUGCAAGUUUUUAGUAUAUUUAGCCACUCGCUCUCAUCGACAGGUGAUGUUUGGACGACCGGCAACGGUCCCUCUCACCGAUGACCGAUGGACGUUUAUUUCGAUGGAUUUGUCUCUUCGGACUUUCGGAGCACCAGGAAUUGCUGAUUUCUAAACCCUGAACCUGAUGGUAUUUAUCAUCAGAGAAAUAUAAAACCGAUGAAUAGUUUCAGAGCUUACUCCAAUGGCAUUAGCCUGUAGAACAAUUAGGAAAGUGUACGCUAAACAUAUCCAAAUGUGAAUUACCUUUUUCCUUUUUGAGUGAAUUUACAACCCAAAAUGAUAGGUCAGUGUAAAUAGACAAUGGAUUUUGACCAAUCUAUUUCAACACAACUUUAAAAUGGAUAUAGUAAAUCUUGCAUCUGAGAGAAACCAGAUUACAAGUAAGUUGAAUUUACAUAUUUCAAUCGGAAGCAAGCAAUUUACAGAUUUAUACCACCGGACUGUUACCACCUUCUGCAUUUUCACCUUUGUAUUUAGAAACAUGGCACGGUAAUGGUGGAUGGCCACAGCAAUCCAGAACAGAACAAGAGAGUGAUGAUUGAUGUACCACAGAUCAUUCAGUGCUGCAUUUACCAGGUGCUACUUUACAGAAAAAUGUGCAGUGAAAUGUCAUCUCAAUUUUCCCAUAGCCAAUGGAAUGCCCUCUGAAGUUUCUGAACAUUCAUGUGGUCAUGUAGAAUAGAACAUUAUAACCUAACCGAACAACGGGUGCUCUGGGCCAUACAAUUCCCUCUUCAAUCAAUCUUAUAGCCUAAAACUUUCGGAUUCCUCAUAAGAAGACUCCGUAGGGUUUUUCCAUUUAUUCCCCAGUCACUGUCCAAGUGUCCAGCUUGCUCACAUUCAGCUUUACCUCGCUUUCAAGAUCACACACACAGAACUUCUGGAAAUAUCUCCAGCAAGCUGGCUAACUGGGCUAGCCUGCUCCACGGAGGGCGCGGCAAGGCCGCGCCUGUAUUUCUAGUCUCAACGAAGCACAGAACAGAAGCCCCGAUCUCAUCCUCCGCGGACUCGUAGAUGGUGAGUGGCCGCAAAUCGAUGGGGAGUGUGGUAGGGCGGAGGGCGUUGUCUUUGUCAGCGCCUGAUUUUUCCUACUGGGUGCUCGAUUUGGCUUUUAUUUCCUGUUUAUUUCCCUUUCAAUUGUGGUGGAAUUGUUUCGUAGAUCUGUGCGAUUCUUGGUCUUUGUUUUCUUUUAUUAUUUGGAGAAUGAAAUGGAUACAUGUUCCAAUUGCA